RNAcentral lists this ribosomal RNA (252 nucleotides) under uncultured bacterium. RNAcentral's name for it is "partial 16S ribosomal RNA". It matches the Rfam family "Bacterial small subunit ribosomal RNA", at positions 524 to 776 of the family's 1533-position model. The record is from RNAcentral.
UACGAAGGGGGCUAGCGUUGCUCGGAAUCACUGGGCGUAAAGCGCACGUAGGCGGCUUUCUAAGUCAGGGGUGAAAUCCUGGAGCUCAACUCCAGAACUGCCUUUGAUACUGGAGAGCUUGAGUCCGGGAGAGGUGAGUGGAACUCCGAGUGUAGAGGUGAAAUUCGUAGAUAUUCGGAAGAACACCAGUGGCGAAGGCGGCUCACUGCCCGGUACUGACGCUGAGGUGCGAAAGCGUGGGGAGCAAACAGG